Molecule: ribosomal RNA, 862 nt
Filed under: uncultured archaeon
Lineage: Archaea
Description: bacterial SSU rRNA
Rfam family: Archaeal small subunit ribosomal RNA
Source: RNAcentral
UUCCGGUUGAUCCCGCCGGACCCCACUGCUAUCGAGAUGGGACUAAGGUAUGCUAGUCGAACGACCAGAACUAUGUCUGGAAGUGGCACACUGCUCAGUAACACGUAGCUAACCUACCCUUAGGACGUGGAUACCCCCGAGAAAUUGGGGUUAAUCCGCGAUAGGUGUAAUGUCCUGGAAUGGUAUUACGCCUAAAGGUGUAUCAUACAUGUUUGAUAUACGCCUAAGGAUGGGGCUGCGGCCGAUCAGGCUGUUGGUGAGGUAAUGGCUCACCAAACCUUUGACCGGUACGGGCCAUGAGAGUGGUAGCCCGGAGAUGGACACUGAGACAAGGGUCCAGGCCCUAAGGGGCGCAGCAACCGCGAAACCUCCACAAUGCACUCACGUGCGAUGGGGCUAUCUCGAGUGCCACCUGAUGAAGGUGGCUUUUCCUAGGUCUUCAAAGCCUUGGGAAUAAGAGGGGGGCAAGACUGGUGUCAGCCGCCGCGGUAACACCAGCCCCUCGAGUGGUGGGGAUGAUUAUUUGGCCUAAAGCGUCCGUAGCCGGCCGAGCAAGUCUUCCGUUAAAUCCAGCGUCUCAAGCGUUGGACUGCGGGAGAUACUACACGGCUAGAGAGUGGGAGAGGUCAGCGGUAUUCUGGGGGUAGGGGCGAAAUCCUUUGAUCCCCGGAGGACCACCAGUGGCGAAGGCUGCUGACUAGAACACGUCUGACGGUCAGGGACGAAAGCUGGGGUAGCGAACCGGAUUAGAUACCCGGGUAGUCCCAGCCGUAAACGAUGCAUGCUAGGUGUUGGGUUGGCCACGAGCCACCCCAGUGCCGCAGGGAAGCCGUUAAGCAUGCCGCCUGGGAAGUACGAUCGC